UAAAAAAAAAAAUAAAAAAGAAAACCCAACUCACUUUUGAUUCACUCCUGAAGAAUGUCUAGCUAUCAAAGACUCUCUUUUGGUUUGUCACGACUUCUCUGAAGGGUUCACUAAGUAUCGAGAGCAGAUACAAAAUUUAUCCUCCCCUAUAAUCGACAGUGAUUCCCACAAUGGCAUGAAAUCAGAGCCAGCGUUAAUUCUUGAAGGGCUUUGCUAAUCUGAAAUCAGUUGUUCAUCCAUGGGAAGAUGUUUUGAUUUCUCUUGGUAGUUGCUUUUUGUCCAACUCUUUCUAUCUACAAGUUUUGACUCAUAAGAGAGUAUUCACAAAUUCAAUCAAGUAGUACACAACAGCUCUCUGAUAAAGCAUGGGAUAGGCAUUUUAUUAAUUGGUUCAAAGUUAGAGUGACAAGAUUGCAUAAGACUAUGAACAACAAAAAAAUAGAAGACUUACUUUCACUAUCUCGUGGUCCUUCCCAAUAUGUUACCUGCUAUAAAGGGUAAAUUUAUAAUGGAUUUAUAUUUCAUAUAGAAGAUCAUGAAAAAGGUUUAAGGACACAAAAUAGUGGAGUGGUAGUUGUUGGUGAUAAUGGCGUAGAUAUUGCAAACAUUGAUUUUUAUGGGGUUUUAACUGAGAUUCUUGAAUUGCAAUAUCUUGGAGGAAGACGAGUGGCAUUGGUUCGUUGUAAAUGGUGGGAUGUCUAUGAUAGAGAGAAAGGAGUUAAAAUAGAUGAAUAUGGAAUUGUUAGUGUUAACUCCCAACGACUUCUGAAAACAAAUGAGCCAUUUGUAUUAGCUAGCUAAGAAUCACAAGUUUUUUAUGCCCAUGACAAUAAAUGCAAAGGUUGGGAAUUAGUGAUAAUGACCCAACCUCGUGAUUCAUAUUCAAUGCCACUACAAAUGGAGGAUGAUGUUGACAAUCUAGACUGUGCAAAUGAAGAUUGUCAAAAUGGUGAAUCCUUUCAUCUAAAUUUCAAUCCAACCACUUCAUUGGGCAUAGAAGGUGAAAUCAGUUGGAGUAGAAAGGAUUUGGAGCCGAUGGUUGUAGAUGGAACAUCUUUGCAAAGAAAAAGAAAAAGGAAAAGAAAGUAUUAAAGGUCUAAACCUGAUUAUAAUUUAUAAAAGAAAAUUGAUUUUUUUU
This 1138-nucleotide unclassified non-coding RNA is filed under the name Hevea brasiliensis (rubber tree). The record is from RNAcentral. Lineage: Eukaryota; Viridiplantae; Streptophyta; Magnoliopsida; Malpighiales; Euphorbiaceae.